RNAcentral lists this long non-coding RNA (40015 nucleotides) under Gossypium barbadense (sea-island cotton). Its description in RNAcentral is "long non-coding RNA (GBAR_LNC000152)". Lineage: Eukaryota; Viridiplantae; Streptophyta; Magnoliopsida; Malvales; Malvaceae. The record is from RNAcentral.
AAGUUUUUCUACUGAGUUAAUUUUUUUAAGAUAAUUACGUUUAUUUUCUUUAUAUUAAGAGUUGUUUUUUUAAUUUAAUUUAAUGUAUUAUUUAUUUAUUUUAUUAUUUUCCACAUGUAAUUAUCUUAUUGGGUUAUCUAAAUAAUAAAUUACAUCUCAUUAAAAAUAUUUUACAUAUGAAAUUUCACAUCAUCUCCAUUAACUUUUUUAAUAGUACUUUCAUUAAAUCUAUUAGAAAAUAUAGAUUGAAAUAAAAAUAGAACAAAGGUUGAAGGCCAAAAAAGGCUCAAAAAUACAAUUAGGGUCAUUUUGACAAAACAUGUGUAAAUGCCCAAAUUUGACCGGGCCCAAUAAGCCCAAAUCAGACAAAACAAAAACAAAAACUAAAUUUAAAUGUCCAUAAGUCCAAAUUACAUAACCCAAAUUUAAAACCCAAACCUAAUACAACCCAAUAGCCCAGUUACAAGCCCAUUUACAAAAUAACCUAACCCAAAUACCCCUGGCCCAAAUGGCCCAAAACUUAAACAAACUUCAGCCAACUAAGAACCCUAGCCUAACGCCUGCGCCGCAACUAGCCUCUAGCAGCCUCCAGCACCUCCAUACGCUGUACGCCGUACACCUCCACGCCAAGCGCCACGUACCACCGUGCCAACUGGCCUCCGUACCUGCGAAGAAACAGACAAGCACAACAGCAAGGACAAAAAGAAAUUGUAUUUUUCUUUUUCAUUUUCUUUGUUUCGGCUAUAAAAGCCAUGUAGUGACCAUUGUAUGUUGAUUACGCGCACAAAAAUUGAAUACAAAAAAUCCAGGAUUAGAAGGUGAUUUCUGUUUUUUUUUAUUUCUGUAAUUUCUCUCUAAUUUUUUUUCUUUUUCCAUUUCCUUUGUGAGUUAUUUCUUCAAAUCUGUCAUCAUCGCAUUGAAAAAAAAAAAAGGAGAGAGGUUUACCUUCGUGGAUGCAUCGUCCGGGUCCUCGUCUCCUCCGUCGAAAUCGAAGUUUGAGACGGGGAUUGUCGGGUGAAAAUGAACCUUAAAUCUCUACUUUGAUGGAGAUUAGGAGGGCCUUCGUAUCAUUCUCCAGUUAUGAUGGUGAAAUGGUGUUUGAAGAGCGAAGGAAAAUGGAGCCUUUAGGGCUGCUGAACUGUGUCGAAACCCUAGCAAAUGGGGAUCUAAUUUGCUGCUUGCGAAAAUGGCAGCUUGCCAUUCAUUUUUUUUUUAUAAAAUGAAACGGCGCCGUUCGGUAGAAAAGGAAUCUGCGCAUUGACCAGUCUGGAGGCCCGGAUCCGCGCCUUUUCACCCUGAAAGGUUAAUUUGCGCGCAUGGUCCCUUUCUUUGUGGAGCCGUUCAAUUGAACCUGGUUUUGAUCUCUUUGUUUUUUUUUAAUUUUCCCGGGAAUUUGCGCACUGUUUCAAUUCGGUCCACGCCUAAGCGCCGCAUUUCGGACUAGGGACAUUUGCAUUCUUAGUCCCUGUUUGUUUGGGUGCAUUUAAUUAUGGUCAUUAAUUCUGUUUUAAUAAUUAGAUUUAUUUAUAAAUUAUUUUUUUGGUUUUAUUUUUAUUUCAAUUGAUUACUUUCUAUUCCAGCUUAUGUUUUAUUUUUAAAAUUAAUUUGUUAUUCAUCUUUUAAUAUAUUAUCUCGAAUUGUUUUAUUAAUUUUCAUGUUCCUAAUUCAUUAUUUUAUACUUUCAUUUGUAUAUAAAUGUAUAUAUAUAUUACAAUUUAUUUAUUUAAAGUUUUCUUUUACAUACAUAUUUCUACGUUUAAAGACUAAACUUAUAUUAAAUUUUUUUUAAGUAUACAUUAUCGAUUUCAUAUUACUUUAUAUUUUCUUUUUUAAUAUUUAUGUAUAUAUUUUCCUUAAAAUUUGUUUAUGUAUAAUUUGUUUAUUUAUGUAAAUUUUUAUAUUAAACACUUUCACGUAUUAGCAUUUUUGUAUAUACAUUGUGUAUAUUAAGUUUUCAUUUCAUAUAUAUAUUAUCAUUUUUUUAAUUAAUAUGUUUUACAACUUUGCAUAUUGUCUAUUUCAGUUUUUUUUUUUACAUAAUAUCUAUUUUUUAAUAAUCAUUCAUAAAUCAUUAGGUUCCCUAUUUUUGUAUAUGUAAACUAUUUCAAACCCUAGCAUGUGUUAUUCAUUUGUAAAUUUUUCAUCUAGUUUUUGAAUUGUUUUGUGUUAUAUUAACUCUUAGUGUCCAUAUUUUUUUGUAUAUUAGGUGGCGUCCUAAUUGUUAUAUUAUUUCAUGUUAUUGUUGUAUAUUGUUUAUUAGUCUUUUGUAUUAUUAUAUCAAUUAUUCUCCAUACAUUAUCGAAAUUGGGUUUUAUUCUUGGUUAGUUAUAUUUAAUUGUUUGUUAGUUGAUUAAAUAAAUUAUAUUGUCUUCAUUCAUCCAUUGUCGUAUUUUAUGCAUACUUAUAUAAUCCCAUAUCAUUGUUUUCCACUAGGUUUACGAAACGUGGUUUUAUAAUGUCCAAAUCUUUAAUAUUAAUUUCGUUAUAUUUCAAAUCGAAUUAACGCGUUUUAAGCUAGUUUUAUAAUUAUUCAUUUAAAAAUUCUUUAAAACAAAGGCAAUACUCGAUGUUUGGCAAUCCGGGAAUCGUGCCCUAUCGUGCUGGGUCGCGAUUUCCUGUUUGUUCAAAACAAUCAAAUAUUCCUCUGGAAUUUCACUCAUAUCUUUAAAAAUUCUUCAAAACGAAGGUAAUGUUCGAUGUUCAGCAAGUCGGGGAAUCGUGCCUUAUCGUGCUGGGUUGCGAUUUCCUAUUUGUUCAAAAUAAUCGAAUAGUCCUUUGGAAUGUCACUCAUGUCUUUAAAAACUCUUCAAAACGAAGGUAAUACUCGAUGUUUAGCAAUUCGGGGAAUCGUGCCCUAUCGUGCUGGGUUGCGAUUUCCUAUUUGUUCGAAAUAACCGAAUAUUCCUUUAGAAUUUCACUCAUGUUCUCUAAAUUCUAAAACAAGGCAAUGUCUAGAAAUUCGGGGAAUCGUGCCCUACUGUGCUGGGUUUCGGUUUUUUCGUUGGACUAAAUAAUUGGGCAUCCUUUUAUGAUUUUCAACAUAUAAACUUUUGGAAGUCAAAAUUUAUCGAGUUUUCGAGGGUAUAAAGGAUCGUGUCCUAUCGUGCUGGACGUGAUGUUGUAUUCCUCUAAAACAAGAGAAUUUUGACGACCAACUUGGGCUAUUCAAAUGUUUAUAAAAGGAAUCACAUUUCAAAAAACAUUUUUUAAAAUCUAAGACAUAAGGACAGUAUUUAAUCAAUUUGGUACCAAUUUUGGGCGUAAUGAGGGUGCUAAUCCUUCCUCAUACGUAAUCGACUCCCGAACCCAUUUUCUCAAAUUUCGUAGACCAAAAUCGUUGUUUUAGUAAACCAAAAUGUUCUAUUAAAAUGACCAAACUUCUUGGUGAUUCAAUCACACCUAAACAAAAAGGAUUGGUGGCGACUCCACAUUUCCAUCGAUCCCUGUAUAUUUUAAAAACGAUAAAAAUGGUUUCGAUAACAUGCAAACGUUAGUGACUAAAUUUGUCAUUAAGCCUUAAAAAAUUAAUGAACGUUGUUUAUAGGAUAUUUGAAAAGAAAAUUAGAUAAAAAGGCACAUAAAUAUUUAGUCUUAUUUAUAGAAUUUUUUUAAAAAAAAUUACUAAAAAUGCAUAGGAAAAUAACUCCUAUUUUUAUUGUAUCAGAAUUUUUUUUCUUAUUUACACAAAAGUAAUUAAGUAUAAAAUUAAAAAUUAAUUAUUGUUCUAAGAAAUUACAAAUACAAUUACAAUUAUAAACUUAAAAAACAAGUUUGUUUCAAUUGAAUUCGGAUUUAAAUAUUUGAAUUCAAAUCCCACCCAUAUUUUAAAUAGAUUUAAUUUUUCUAACAGUUUUUAAAUUUUGAUGGACAACUUAAUCCUUAAAUUGAUCUAAAAUAAAAUGAUAAAGUUUAAAAGGAUCUGCUUUUUAGAAUAUAUUUUUUUUAAAAAAAUUAGGAAUAAAUUUACAUUGAAAAAAAGGGGUUGAUGUGCAAUGAAAAAAAAAAACAUCGCAUAAUAUUAUUGGAAGGACUAUAUCGUAUACCAUAAGAAGAGUUUACCAAAUAAUUUCUUUAAUUUAAAGAGAUUACAUUACUUUAUCAAAAUUUGAGCAUCAAUUUUUUAGUUCUAAUUGCUAAAAAGAACAUUAUCUAUACUUAUUAUAAAAAUUUUUAAUAAAUUUUAUGUUACGGAUUAAUUAAAUACAAACUCGGUUGAAAAAAGAUUAAUACAUUUUCUAUUAAAUGACUAUUAUGAUGAUUCUUUUGUCCUUUUAAAUUUCAGGGACCACAAAGGGUUCAGGUUUUUUUUCUGGUUAGCCUUCAAACAGAGAUUGCUUACUCAAGCAGAGCGACUAAGGAGUAGUGUGGGAAGUGAAGCACGGUGUCUGAUCUAUGGCCAUGAAACAGAGGAUGUUUUUCAUGCUAUAAGGGAUUGUGAUGCAGCGAAAAAGGUAUGGUUCCGAAUCAUCCCUCCCCAUAAGCUAAUCUUUUUCUUUUCAAGUAAUUUACCGGAGUUGCUUGAAUGCAAUUUGGAUAAUCAACUCAAUUUAACCUGGCUAAAUGUCGAUUGGCCGUGCUUCUUUGGCAUUGUUGCUUGGCGGAUAUGGAAGAACAGGAAUAUAUACACCUUUCACGGGGUCUCGUGAAGUACAGAGGAGAUCAUCAAAGGUGCGCAUAGUUGGGCCAACCAAUACAUUUCAUCUUGCAAGGAAGGAACCCCAGUGAGACUGAGCUCGAGAGAAGAGACGAUGAAAAUAGGAAGAUUGAGUCGAUUAAGAUCCGAUGGAGCAGUUAGAUUUAACACAAGUUAUGCUGCAACAGGUGAUGUAUUGAGAGUCACAAUUGCAAAUGGUUACUCGAGUUCAAUUGCAUAUUGAGUAAAUGUUUUGUUUUUAAAGUUGAACUAUGGGGCAUCCUCGAUGGCAUGACAUUGACACAAGGCAGAAUACAUAAUGGAAUUGUGAUACAGUCAGACAAUAUGGAAGUUACGAGAGCUAUCAAUGAGUCCUUCCUGAAUGGGAUCAAAUUCUGCAUUAAUCAGGCAUAUCUUACAGGUUUUGCAAAAUGAGGAAAAUUGGUUGAUUGAAUAUGUUCCUAGAGACGAGAACAGAGAAGCUGAUAGUAUUACAGAGCUGGCUGUUGGCAGGAAGGAGGGUCUACAGUUAUAUGAAACUUCUCCUCUUAAAACUUUCUAGUAUUUCAUAAUAGUUUCCAUUUUUUUUUUCAAAAAAAAUUAAAAACCAUAUAUCAAAAAAUCAAACUCAUAUUAGAUAAAAUUUAUAUACAAUUUUAUUAUAUUUUGACAUAACCUAUUAAUUAUUUUAAUAAGACCAAACAUUAUUGCUAACAUAACAUUACAACAUUAUAGCAUUCACCAAAAACUUAAAUGAGAAAUUAGGAAGAGUAAUUGAGCUCGAGUUCUUUGUUGCUCAGACUCGAUAAAAUGAGAGCUAUAUUUGUGUCGACAGGGAAUAUGUGUUGGAUUUAUCGGAUUCUUAUAAUUGAGUGAGAAAAGAAAAAGAAAAAGAAGAUGGAAAAGAAAGAAACAGCCAAACAAAAUCAAAUGAAAAUCGAGAAAAUAAAGUUGAAUAUGUCAAAAACAAGUAGAAUGCUUUUUCUUUUCAACGUCAAUUUCAUGUGAAUUACUAUUCCUUCAACUUGGUUUGUCUUUUGCAAUCAUUACAAUAUUUGAUUAUAAUUUACUCUAAGGUGAUAAUCAAGUUUAUUGUAGAUUAAUCAUUAAUCUCUAGUAUAAGAGCCUAGUUACUGCUACUCACUCUCCAUCAACUUUCCUCCAAAUAUAGCACUUCUUUAUGUUUGUUUUGAGAAACUACCUCUCUUCUUUUGUUCUCAGUUUGUUUAGAGUUGUGUUAAUUCGCCAGCCUUUCUGCGACAAAAAAGAAUCUUGAAAAUCUCCAAGUACCAAGUAAAUCCCAUCGAUUUCUUCAACUUAGCUCCUAAGUUCCAAUGGUUAGAUUCGAUAAUGAGACAUCCUCCUCUUCCUCCUCCUCAUCAGCAUCAUCAUCAUUGGAAUCAUCUUCUUCAGUUUCUCGAGGGAAAUAUGAUGUUUUCUUGAGUUUCAGAGGUGAGGAUACCCGCAGGAAUUUCACGGAUCAUCUUUAUGCUGCAUGCAAAAGGAGAGGAAUCAUCACUUUUAGGGAUGACGAAAAGCUCGAGACAGGUGAACCCAUAGCACCUGAGCUCUUCAAAGCAAUUCAUGAGUCAUGGUGCUCUGUAAUCGUUUUGUCGGAAGGGUAUUGUUUUUCGAGUUGGUGCCUAGAAGAGCUUUCCGAGAUUAUUCAACAGAAAAACGACAAGGGACAUAAUGUCUUCCCCAUUUUCUAUUAUGUGGAUCCAUCUGAUUUGAGAAAACAAACCGGAAAAGUUCAAGAAGCUUUUCUUAAGCAUGAAAAUAAUUUCCAGGACAACAAAGAGAAGACACAAAGGUGGCGAUCUGCUUUAACUCAAGCAGCUAACAUCAAAGGAUGGCACUUGAGUAACAGGUAACUAUCAUAUUCUUUCACUUCAAUAAUAUCUUACCAGCAUCAAGUUUGAAGUUUGAGGCAUUAGCUAAGGAUUGUGCCCUUAAAGUUUCACUAAGCUAUUUCCUUUGCUUUGUAUUUGAAGGCAUGAAUCAGAACUUAUUGGAGAAAUCAUUAAAAAGGUAUCAACAAAAUUAUGUCAAACAUUUGCAAGUGCUCCUAAUGACAUGAUUGGAAUUGAGUCACGUUUGGAAGAGUUAAAUUGCAAAAUAGGCAUAGGGGAGGAAGAUGAUAGUGUUCAGAUUAUAGGGAUUUGUGGUAUGGGCGGGUUAGGUAAAACAACUCUUGCGAGAUUUGCUUAUACCCAAAUUUCAAGUCAUUUUGAGGGCCAAAGCUUUCUGGCCGAUGUUCGUGAAAUUGCAGAGAAACAUGGACUUGUUUGUUUGCAGAAACAACUUCUUUCCCAAAUUUUUCCAGAGGAAAGUUUCAACUUUUUUAAUGUUCAUGAUGGGAAUGACAUCAUACGUCAUAUGUUCUCUCAUAAAAAGAUUUUUGUUGUUGUUGAUGAUGUGGAUAACAUACAACACUUAAAAUGUUUGAUAGGCAAGCGAGCUUGGUUUGGUUUAGGAAGCAGGAUCAUCAUAACAACAAGAGACGAGCAUCUGCUGCAAAUCUACGGAGUGGAUGAUGUGUAUAAUCCGACGAAAUUGAAUGCCAAGGAAGCACUUCGCCUUUUCAGUUUGAAAGCUUUCAAAAGUGAAACACCUGCAAUGGAAUUUUUUGAGCUUUCUAAACGUGUAGUGGAAUAUGCCAAUGGCCUUCCGUUAGCUCUUGAAGUUUUUGGUUCUUUUCUGUCUGGCAGAUCAGAUGAAGUUCAAUGGAGAAGUGCUAUUGAAAGACUUAAAAAGGAGUCCAACAAAGAAAUUCUAGACAGGCUUCAAAUAAGCUUUGAUGGGUUAGAACAGUUAGAGAAAGAUAUAUUUUUAGAUAUUGCAUGCUUCUUCAAAGGAGAAAACAAAGAUAUGGUAACCAAAAUUCUUGAUGGUUGUGGCUUUUUCCCGGAUAUUGGAAUAGAUGUUCUCAUCAAGAAAUCUCUUAUAACAAUUGAUGAAGACAACAAAUUGUCGAUGCAUGACUUGUUACAAGAGAUGGGAAGGAAAAUUGUUUACCAAGAAUCUCCUAAUGAACCUGGAAAACGCAGUAGAUUGUGGGAGGAAAAGGAUACUAAUUAUGUGCUAAUAGAAAACACUGUAAGACUUCAGCACUAUUAACUGUUACUCCACCCUUGAAUAUUUGUUGAUUCAUACGAUACUAGGAUGCAAGUCUACCUUUGAACUAUUUUUGAACGUGCAUUGCACUGUUAAGUCAUUAAAUUUACCAUAUUAAUUAGUUGAUUGCUCUGGUUUUCAGGCAACGGAAGCUGUUCAAGGUCUAGUCAUCGAUUCUAUCAGGUGUAAAUUCAUACACCUAUCUGUGUAUAUGUAGUUGAUUACUCUGUAUAUUGUAAAGCUCAUUCCACUUUUUCCUUUGGUGGUUAUCAGGAAACAGAACACUUGGACUUUGAGUGCUGCUGCCUUUUUGACGAUGAACAGGCUAAGACUGCUCAGAGUCUUCAAUGUCCCAAAUUCUCGUGAUUUCAAAUAUCUUAGUAGCGAGGUAAGGCUUUUAGAAUGGCAUGGAUAUCCUUUCAAAUCCUUCCCUUCAAGCUUCCAACUAGAGAACCUGGUUGCACUUCUUCUGCCUUAUAGCCGCAUUGAAAAAUUGUGGAAGCCAAAGAUGGUAAGAGUUACUUUGUUUGAUCAAUAAUUUUGACCAAGAUAACAUAAAACACAAAAUACCAAAAAGAAAAUGGCAUUUCAUCUUUGGUUUUCUUUUUCAUUGUUUUCUUUUACAGCCUGUAUAUAAUUUAAAAUUGGUCGACCUCAAAGGCUCUAAAAACCUUGUGAAAACACCAGACUUCAGUAUGGCCUCAAAUCUUGAAAGUUUGAUUCUGGAAGGUACUGGAAUAGUAGAUUUUGAUCCUACCGUCAAGUUUCUAAGGAGGCUGAAGCUUUUGAAUUUAAGAAACUGCAAGAGACUUAGGAUUUUCCCAUCCAAAAUUGGGAAUGGAUCUCUAGAAACAUUAAUUCUUUCAGGUUGCUCAAAUAUAGAAAGGAUUCCAGAGAUUGUUGGGGAAAUGGAAUGUCUGAAAGAGCUUUGUUUGGAUGGGACUGGUAUUAAAGAACUUCCCUCUUCAAUUGGACAUCUCAGGCGUCUUAUGUUGCUAAAUUUGAAAGAUUGCAGUAAGCUUGAGAGUCUCCCAAGCAGCAUAGGUGGGUGUGAAUUCCUUAAAACUCUUAUUCUCUCAGGCUGCUCUAAACUUAAAAAUUUUCCAGAGAGUUUGCAACAACUAGAAUCUUUGGAAGAGCUUAACCUAAGUGAGACUGCCAUAACGACACCACCAUCCUUCAUUUUUCAUAAGAAAAAUCUCAAGUUUCUUUCUUUACAAGGGUGCAAGGGACCACCAUAUAGAGUACGAUCACAUUGCCGUUUUAUUUCUAGGCCCACACAAAGACUUAGUUCGAACUCUAUGACCUUGAAGCUACCUGCUAUUUUGUCUGGUUUGAGUUCUUUGAAGGAGCUGAAUUUAGAUGACUGCAACCUUUAUGAUGGGGCUAUUCCUGAUGACAUUAUCAGGUUGUCCUCAUUAGAAAAACUAAGACUUUCUGAUAACAAUUUCAGGACCUUGCCUACAACCCUUGGUGGACUUUCCAAGCUUACUGAUCUAGUACUGACUGACUGCAAAAGGCUUAAAUCAUUGCCCGAGCUACCAGCAAGCAUAAAAUUAUGGUUAGACGGUUGUGGUUCAUUGGAAGCAGUUGCAAAUUGGACUACAACUUUCAAUUCACGGGCUGAUGGAUAUAUUUGUGCUUUUAACUGCUUCAAAUUGGCAGAGGGUAACGAUGCUGUAGCAAUGCUGAAAAGAUGUAUUCAGGUUGGUGUUUUUGUUUUUAUUUUUCUCUUAUCACUCCCAUUGAUUUAUUUACUUAUUAUUUUUCUCUAUAGCUCCCAAGAAGUUAUGGUUCUAAAAAUACUAAUUAUCAUUUGCUUUGUUUCAUAGGAAGGUGCAAAGGUAAGAACAACAAAUUAUGACAUUAUAAUACCAGGAAGUGAAAUUCCAAAAUGGUUUACUAAUCAGACGGAUGACCCUUCGGAUUCAAUAAUAAAGAUACAAUUGCCUCCAGGUUUUCUGAUUGGUCGCCAGUUAGUAGGAUUCGCCUUCUGCUGUGUUUUCUUCUCUAACUUCGAUAAUAAACCUAGGAGGGGGGAGCAUAUUUCCCAUACAUCUGUUAUCCAUGGUAGAAAUUUCUCUCGAGAAUUUGGAAGAUGUGACUUUCAUUUAGAAGGUAAAUCUACGAGGGUAGGUGAGGUCCACCUUUGGCUACAUUUUAUGCCUUGUAACCAGCUGCGCUUGUUUUCCUUGGCAUUUGAAUGUAAAGGACAAGAGAUUUCUGAAUUCAUCACAUAUGUGCUGAAGGAAAGUUCUGAAAUUGAGGUUUUCUUCAAAAUCUGGGGUUUCCAUUCCAAGCUGAAGAAAUGUGGGGUUCGGAUGGUGUACAAAAAAGAUUUGGAAGAGAUGGACCAAACCGGAGAUGAGCAGCAAAUCAGACCAGCUUCUUCAAAUUUUAGUGAUGCCAGUUCAAACAAUGGAUCAACCAGGAAUGAUAUCAGUUCCCCCACGCAGAGAAAAUGGUUUAGUAUCUACUUGUUUAUUAUUUUAUUCCCCAAAAUCAUCAAUAUUGAUACAUACAUACGUACGUACGUAAUGUAUGUAUGUAUGGUAUUGUCAUCUCUUUUAUAAGGCUAAUUUUCUUACGUCUGCGUGCUUUGAUUCCAGGUUGAAUGACAAAGCAAGUCAUCAGUGGAUCAAACCUUUUUUCUGUCACUACUGUUUAGCAUAUAUCGGAAACGAUCGAUUACUCACUCAAUUCUAGGUUUUUUGAUAUCAUAUAAAAAAUUAUUUAUAGUCCUUCGUCAACUCAUAAAUAAAAAGAUAAUGCGUUUUAACGCAUUCGAACCUCUAGCCUCCUACUUUUGACAUAAAUAGUUAAAAUAAACCAGUUAUUAUACUGUGUAUCUUUUGUAAGGUAAUUAUCUUUAUAAUUUCGAUUUCUUCCUACAAUUUAACUAGUCGGUUUCUCAAUUUUAAUAUUUGAUUUUCAAAGUAAUUAAUAGUUAUAUAAGUUUAAAAUUAAAAUCAAUAUACUAAUCAAAUUUUAUUUUUAAACAAUUUUUUAUUCAGUUUUUUUUCUUUAUCACCUCGAUCAAGAUGGCCUAUUAAUGAUGGCUAUAAAUAACACUUGAUUGUUGGUUAAUUCAUUGUCGUGAAUGACAAUAAAGUGUUAUUUAUAUGCAUUUCUAAAAGUCUAGUUUCAUGUGAAUAUAUAUAUGUUUAUAUUUUUUUAUUUAAUAAAAUAUUUUUAUUUAGUAAUUAUUAUUAAAAAUAAUUAAUAUAUAAUAUUUAAAAAAACUUUAAGAUCAUAAUUAAGUAAUUCUACAACAAUGUUUAAAAGAUGGACAUAGAUGUAAUUGUAAUUUUUGUGUAUGUUUCUAUUGUGAUUUUGUCAAUUAAUAAUAAAAUUAAUCUCAACUUAAAUAAAAAUUAUUUAAAACAAUAUUUUUUUGUUAAUUAAAUUGAAUAGUUUAAAUUAUAAUGAAAUUGUAGUUGAAGGUAAAUUACUUUUGACACUUAUCGUGAGUUUGAGUACAGGUAAAAUAACAAUUCUAUCAUGAAAAUUUAUGUAAAUAUCUUAAAAAUUAAAUUCUAAAAUAUUAGAUUUUAAUUUAAUUUAAUUUGGGUGCGUACAUUGAUAAAAGAAAAAAUUAAUUAUGAUUUUAAUGUAUUAAAAUUAUCGACUUAGCUAUUAAUUUUUAAAUUUAAUAAAAAUUAAAUUAAAUUUUUAAUUUUAAUAUAAUUUUUUUUAAAAUUUUAUAUUUAAAUCUUUUUCUAAUUUAAAACUGAAUAACUAUAUUAUUAAUUAAAUUCAAAAUGUAUUAAAUAUAUCUAAAUUAAACUUUCUUUAAGUGAAACAACUAUUGAUAUUAUUAAAUCGUUUAAUUGUAUUAUAAAAAAUAUGAAUUAAAUUAAAGAUAUUUUUAAAAACUUCAGCUUUCUAACUAAAAUAAAGUAAUAUUUAGACAAAUAAAAAAGUCAAACUUCCUAAAAAUUUAAAAUAAAAUUUAACUUAUAAAUAAAUAAAAUUUAAUAUUUUUCCUCCAAAAUUUUACUCCCCAUUUACUUUCCCUUAGACUUUUAUUCCCAAAAACUUUUUAUUUUCCCCCUAAACUUUUACUUUUCACCCUUUACUCUCAAAUAAAAAAUUAAAAUUAUCCAAAAAAAAUCACUAAACAUAAAUAAUAAUAAUUUUAUUUAUAUAUACUAUUUAUAUUAUUAAAUUAAAUUUCACAUUUUAUAUUAUUUAUUUUAUUGAAUUGUUUAGUCAUAUUGAAUAUUUAUAUUAAAAUUGAAUUAUUAAUUAUGCCAUAAAAUAUUCGUGUUAAAAUUUUAUAUUGGUAUCAAUUUCACAUUUUAUCUUUAAAAUAAAUUUUAUUAAAUUAUUAAUUAUGCUAUAAAAUAUUCGUGUUAAAAUUUUAUAUUGGUAUAAAUUUCACAUUUUAUCUUUAAAAUAACUUUUAUUAAAAAAUCACAUUUUUACAUUUAAUAUAUUUUUUAAUUCCAAAAUACAUAGUGACAAUAAUCUAAAGAUAAUUGACACAACUAAGCAAGCAAAGAAGCUAACUCGUAUAUAAAGGAUUAAUAAAUAAAUUAUGACGUGAUGAAAUUUAAUAAAAAAUUUGAUUAAGGUGAACAAAUUUUAUUAUGAUAGGUGAUAGUGGUUACAAGUACCCAAAAUUAUUUUUUAAAAUUUAACUCGAACAAAUAUAUUCGAUUCGAUUCGAUUCGAAUUCCAUCUCACUCGACUCGAUUCGAGAAAAUUUCAAAUCAAAUUAGGAUGAUAAAAUAUGAUUCGUCAACUCGAUUAACUUGAAAUUUUUUCAUUUGAUUCGAUCGAACUCUCACCCCUAAGCGCAAGAGCCAGUAGUUAGAGGACAGAGUUCACGGGGAAUAGAGUUACCAAGUCAAGUCUUAGACUUGGAUAAUUUGGAUGUGAGGGAUGAAGAAAGAAGUAAAAAGCAACAAAGUAUACCGAGACUUUACAGCUAUUCUAUGACAACGAGGAAAGAACUGUAAAGAUUUCAUCAGCGUUGGUAAUAGAAGACAAGAGCAUACUGAUUCAGUGUCUGAAGGAAAACUUAGACGUUUUUUCUUUGUUAACGGUAGACAUGCUAGGGGUAGACCCUCAAGUGAUCGUCCACAAGCUAAAUGUGCUCCCAGAGUAAAAACUGAUUAAGCAGAAGAAGAGGAAGUUUGUUCUGCAGGUGGCAGAGAUAGUAAGAUAAGAGGUAGCUGAAUUGUUAUCAGUGAGUUUUAUCAAGGAGGUUGAGUAUCCAGAAUGAGUCUCAAAUGUGGUUAUAGUGAAAAAAGCAAAUGACAAAUGGAGAAUGUGUAUUGAUUUCACUAACCUUAACAAGGCAUGCCCUAAGGACAGUUUCCCUCUACCUUUGAUUGACCGUUUGGUUGAUGCCUCUGCAGGUCACAGAUUCAUGAGCUUCAUGGAUGCCUUCUCGGGCUAUAACCACAUAUUGUUGGAUCUGGAUGACUAGGAAAAGAUAUCAUUUAUCAUUGAAGAAGGACUUUUCUUGUAACACCAUAUACCUAGCCUGGUCGCCAAGCCCAAAUACGGGAUGCCACACCACUGUCCCGUCUCAUGUACAUCGAAUAGGAAGCUAGAUUCAAGCAAACCAGUCAUCUUUUGUUAACUCGUAUAAGUUUUAAAACGUCCCAAUAGUUAUUUAACAUCGUUACAUGCAAAUCAUUCGCUAAUUGAUCAUACACUCAGCCAGAAUUAUGUAUGUGAGCUAAUUAGCAAAAUUCCAUAAAAAUGUCCGUAGGUAUCGAUACUUGAUUAGUAUUGAUACCACUUGGAAAAACGAUACCAAAUAAGCUUAUUAUUUCUCGAUUAAAAACCCAACUAUCGGAAAAUAUCGGUACCACCAAACAAAGUAUCUAUAUUUAUUCCCUAAGUAUUGAUACUCGAGCAAAGGUAUCGAUACUAAAUCUCUAUUUUGUUUCCUGUACGUUUUAAUUCACAGAGGUAUCAUAUUUUAGAGUUAUUUUCACUUAUUCUACUUUGGUGAAGUAGUACCUUAUGAAACAUAUUUCGUGAAACAUAUUUCAUAAUGCAAUUUAUUCUUAACAAAGAAUUGUUUUUGGACGAAAGCUAUUCCCGAAUCAGGGUUAUUUUGAUUUGUUCAAAACAUGAGCUAUUCUCAAAAUAAAAAUUACUUUGGAUAAAAGUUGUUCCAUAGUGAUAUUUUUCUAUGAAGAACUUGCUCUAAUAAUGGCCCUGGUUCUAAAUAGAAAUUGUUUCAAAUAACUAUUGUUUUGAGCAUAAUUAUUCUGAAAACGCCAUUAUAUAAAUGGUAGUUAUUCCAAAUUUCAGUUGUUCUCAAAUUACAAGCACAUUAAAUAGUAAUUAUUCUAAAUUAGAGUCAUGUUUUAAAUGUAAUGAUUUUGAAAAUUACUAUCAUUAAACAAUUAUUUUUCUGAAUAAACAGCAGUGCUUUAUUAUUAACAUUUGAAGCACAAAUCUCAUGAAACAUGAUUUUUUUUUAUAUGUUAAAAGAUAGAAAUAUUAAUAACUACCUACAACAAUAAACAAGAUAAAUUUACCUUACACUAAUGUCAUUUUUUUUUCUUCCAACAAAGUUAACUGCACAAGAAUUAUUGAUCAUUGAUUAUUCCUACAUGUUACAAAGCCAAGGUGCAAUAAUCGAAUAACAAACAUAAAAUUAUAAAGCUUCCAACUAUCAAUGGAGCAAAAAUUAUAAAUAGUAAUUAAUAAGGAAAUGGUUAAAUUAUGAUAUUAGUUUUUGUACUUUGUGAAAAUUAUAGAUUUAAUCUUUGUACUUUAUUUUGGUCACUUUUAGUCCUUACGUUUUUCAAAUUUUAUAAUCUCAAUCCUCGCCAAAUGAUAAUUGCUAAAUUCAUUAAUUUCUACGCUUUUCAAAAUCUAAUGUGAUAAACAUAUUCUCAUGUGUGUGAUACCAUAUCAACUUGUUAUUUUCACGUAUUACUCACUAAAAAUCCAGUUAAUGGAUUAAUGAUUAUCAUUUGCGACAAAAUUGGAAUUUCAAAAUUUGAAAGCAUGAGAACUUAAAAAUGAUCCAAUUGGAUAAUAUGGGCUAAAUCUCCAAUUGUAUGCAUAGUAUAGGACUAGUAAUUGAAUUUAACCAAAUAAAUUGAUUGUUAUUGUUUGGGUCAAGACUAAAAUUUCAAAAUUUGAAUAGUACAAAAGCUAAAAUUAAUCAAAUAAAUUACAAGGACAAAAUCCACAACUUUUGCAAAGUAUAUGAGCUAAUAGCAGAAUUUAACCUAAGUAAAACGCUUUCAUCUUGGCAAUCAUUAUUUUUUAUUUCCAUGAAUGGAUUGCAAUGUUUUUUAAAUUGAACUAGUGGUUGAAUUAGUCAACCAUCAGUUGUCGAUUCAAUCAAUCUAAUCGAUUCAAUUAAAAAUUAUUACAAAUUAUAAAUAAAUAAAACCUCUACACGUGUGACAACCCUAAUUAGACCCUAGUCGGAAUGUGGUUUCGGGACUACAAAAUUGAGUCACAGAAAUUUAUUUUAAUUUUAAUUGCAUAUAUUUAUGUGUGAUGGUGUAUGUAUGAAAAAUUAAAUGUUUUAAAUUAGUCUUAGGAAUGUAAAUUUUUCUUGAAAGGACUUAGUUGAGAAAUUGAGAAAAGAUGAUAGGUAAUUUGUAAGGAUCCAAUAACAAUAAGGUGAGAAAGCUUGGGUUUGCAUGUCAAUUUACCCUUAAUGCAUGUAGUGGCCGGCCAUGAAAUGAUGUUACUCCACUAAGUCUAAUUAAAUACAUUUUAAUAUGGUAAAUGAUAAAAUAAAAUUAAUUAAAAAAAAAGGAAGGUAAGAGAGUGUUCAUCUUCUCCUUGCAAAAGCCGAAACUAAAGUGAGGGAGGAAAGAAAAUUUUUGAAGGCAUUCGGCCAACUUAGGGGUUGAUUAAGGUAAGAUUUCAUGCUAUUUUCAUUAAAUUUUAUGAGAAUUUAGUUCAUAGUUAAGUUCAUAUUCCAACCCAUAUGUUGAUUUUCUUUAUUUAGUGACAAAAUAUACAUACGGUUACUAUGGUUAGAUGUUAAGAGAUAGUGUUGAGGCUUAGGAUGGAUAUAUUAGAAGGUGAAGAAUGGACUAGCUAAUGGACAUAUGUGUUUUUGAAUAAUAGCAUGAAUAGAUGAGGAGUUUUGUUAGUUAGAAAUAUUUAGUCAAUUUGAUAUGUGGUAAAAAAAUUAAGUGUUAAAUGAAAUGAAAAUGAUAUUAUAUUGGAGUAUGUAUAUUCGGCCAUAUGAGUAAAUACAUAGAUGAUGUUAAAUUUGAUUAUGUAUAAUCGGCCAUAUAGGGUACACAUUUGUGAUAUUAUCUUUAAUUCUCUAUAAUUGAUCAAAUGGGUGAUAUUGGCUUAUACGGUUGAAUUUGAUUCAUGAAUAUGUACAUUGAAGUGAAAUAUAUCAUAGGCUAUGUUAUUUUGGAAGUAAGAAUGCAAUCGGCCUUGAGACACUUUAUAAGUAUUAGUUAAGGUUUUAAUGUUUUGAACAAUAAUGGUUGUAAGAUGAAGUGAAAAUCAGUAAAAUAUAUAUGUGAGUAAUUAGCAAGGGUGGUUGCCGUGUAUAUAUUAUAUAUGUGUGUGUUUAUAUAUGAGUGUAAUUAAAGUAUUGAUUGGAUUAUUGUUAAUAAAGUGAUAUUAGGUGGUUGGUAGCCGAAUAGCAUAAAAGCAUAAGGUAGAAUGAUAAAAAUUUUACCGUGAGUUUCUUGUGUCAUGUAAUCAUUAAUAUUAUUGGAGAUAAAUAACUAGCAAGGUAAUUAAACUAGUUAAUGUAUUUUGAUUAAGCUCAAGAACUUAAAGGAGGAGAAUCAAGCAAGGGCAAGUCGAAGGACAUCGAGUAGUUGAUUAGGGUCGUUUUAUUCGAAACAAGGUAAGUCUAUAAGCAAUUAAGGUUGUUUAUUUUAUACAUAAUUGGUAUAUGCAUAUCAUGAAAGAAUUACCCUCAUAAAAAAAAUUCUUUGAUUGAAAAGGGUAAUGGCCGAUUCUAUUUAGUUAAUUAAACCAAUCAUUUUGUAAUAAAGAAAUGACUUGGCACUAAGUGUGCGAAAAUUGUAUGGCACUAAGUGUGCGGAAAUUCUAUGGCACUAUGUGUGCGAAUAUAUAUGGCAUUGGUGUGUAGAGUUAAACUGUCGUUUCGCAUGUGGAUUUCUAAAGAACCAUGUGUGAGAGUUAAUAUGGCAUGAUAGGUAUAAGAAUUUCUUAUUCGAGCACUUCUUGUGUGAAGUUGAUUAUAUAAUACUUAGAUUUAAUGGUGAUAGUUGACUAGUAGUGAAUUGAUAAUUUAGACAUUAUGUGAACCUUUUGAUUUCUAUUUUUUUUAGUUAGUUAACUAUUACAUUUCAUUGCUUACGACUUACUAAGUUGAAUACUCAUAUUGUGUGUUUGUUUGUCUCCUAUUUAGAUGCUCUGACCCAUUUUGCGUGCUUUGGACCAUCGUCGAAGUCAUCACACCAACUUGCAACAUUUUGGUACCCUCUUCUUAGUUGUCUAAGUGAACAUUAUGGCAUGUAUAGGCUAAAAUGUAUUUUGUUUGAAUUUUGAUAUGUAUACUUCCAGCCAUGCGAAUAUGGCUUAAAUAUUAAGUUUGAAUUUGGUUAUGUUUAAUCAUGGUAUUAUUCAUCUUGGUUAUAAUGUUUAAUACUAAAAAUGCAUGAUAUAAAAUAUAUAUAUAUAUAAGCUUGAGCACUGAGAAUGUUAGAAAUAUCGAAUUUAUGUUUGGAGUGGUUUGAUUAUGAUACAUUUAUAUAAGUGAACAAUUGUAAUUUGACUAUUGUAUUUGAUCUUAAUAUUUUAAUUUGAGAUAGCGUAAUGAGUCAUCUGGUUAUGUUGGAACAUAACAUCAAAUCUUUUAAUACGGUUGUUAUAUAUCGUAAACUUAUGUGAUGGUUUAAAGUACCUAAUGAAAUGACUAUGAUAGAAGUAGAUGCAUGAAAAUUUAUGAAAAAGUAUUUGGUUCAGUAACAUCUCGUAACUCAUUCUAGCGAUGGAAACAAGUUAGGGGUGUUACAACACGUUUCAAUUUCAUGCUAUGCUUUUUAGUUUGACUGGUUGCUUGGCAAGUAGAGGGAAAUAGAAAGGAGUAUUGUUAGUUUUAAAUUUUACAUAAAAGUCAAAUCUUUCUUAGUUGAUAUCCUAAGGGCUUAGAGUUCAAUAUUUUUUGUAAAGCUAUAAUCAGCUCAUGUUUCUGCUACAAUUGAGGGUGAGUUUGGAUGGGCAGUGCGUUUGCCUGUGGUUAGUGUAAAAACAGCGGUGACGGUGAGAUUAGAUACUGUAGCGAUACUGUAGCGUGAGACAAAAAGUAACCUAAACACACCGCACCAUACGGCACCGCAGCCCCAAACGAAGCCUGAGUCUGUUUGUUAAAGGUGGAACAUUUGUUCUAGGGUUUAGAGAAGAAGGAAGUAAACUGAUUUAAGCUCCAAAGAACUCACCUUAACAACCCGUAAGAGCCCUUCCAUUGCUACUCGAUAUGGUAUUACUACUGAGAAAUUAUUGUAGGUUUUCCUGGAAGUUAAGCUCUUUCUAGUAAUUUCAGCUCCUGUCAACUUCUAGUGGGUCAUGUUAAGAUAAUUUGGGAAUCAGCAGUUUCUGUUUUAAGGUUAGUAGGAAUGGAGUGUUUGGGCAUUAAAGAAUAGGACAGCAUCAAGUUUGGAAGUGUGUGUUUAUGUAACAAGACUUUUUCCAGUGUACGUGAGCAGUGACAUUUGGGUAAUUUGCAAACAAACAUAUUAUAUUGUUUAUGGGUGACAUGGUGACACCGCACAUUGCUUUAGAUUUCUGGGCAUGUCAAGUCUUAUCCUGAAAUUUGAAUAAAGGAGAAAAAACAUGAAAGUUCAAAAUAUCUAGAAUUUCAAAGAUUCUUUAGACGAAACAGCUGGUCCUCAGAAUUUCUAGAGAUUCAACACUUUAGGCGACUAUGUUUUUUUCCUCGUUCUCACUUAUCUAAAACCAGCAAAGAGAAAGGGAAAAUCAACCAUUUUUUAAACAAAAUUUGUAUAUUAUAUUUCGCUGUUUAUACUUUCUGUGUUCAAUUUCCGUGUUCCACACUGAAACUGUCCCUCGUCGAAGCAACAUAAUAACAUAAUCUAGAAAGAAGAUUAAAUUAAUUAUUUUUUUCAUAUACGUAACCAAUAAAAGAUUUACAAAUUAAAAUAUUAAGUAAAUUCUGAAUUUUAUUAAAUUUAAAUCAUUUCGCCCCAUUAAAAUUAAUAAUUUUUUUAAUGAGAUACCAUGGUUAUUGUUUUUAGGUAUAAGCUUUUUUUCCUUAAACUUCACAAACUAUGUAAAUGAUAAAUUUGGCAACUAACAUAUGUAUAUUCUAUCAAAAUGGUCUUAUUUAUAUUUUCAAGCUUUUUUGGCCAUUAACCUUUUUUUUUCAAUCUACUUUUUCUAAUAGAUUUAAUGUAUAAAUUUAAGGUUUCAAUUUUUUUUCUUUUAAAAGGUUUCAAUCUUUCGUACGUUUGUUUACUGAGAAAUUUUUCUACUGAGUUAAUUUUUUUAAGAUAAUUACAUUUAUUUUCUUUAAAUUAAGACUUGUUUUUUAUUUUAAUUUAAUGUAUUAUUUAUUUAUUUUAUUAUUUUUCACAUGUAAUUAUCUUAUUAGGUUAUCUAAGUAAUAAAUUACAUCUCAUUAAAAAUAUUUUACAUAUGAAAUUCCACAUCAUCCCCAUUUAACUUUUUUAACGGUACUUUCAUUAAAUCUAUUAAAAAAAGCAGAUUGAAAAAAAAAACAAAGGUUGAUGGCCAAAAAAUGCUAAAAAUAUAAUUAGGGCCAUUUUGACAAAACAUGCAAAGCGUUAGUGACCAAAUUUGUCAUUAAGCCUAAAAAAUUUAAUAAAAAUUCUUUAUAGGAUAUUUGUAAAGAAAAUUAGAUAAAAAGGCACAUAAAUAUUUAGUCUUAUUUAUAGAAUUUUAAAAAAAAUUACUAAAAAUGCAUAGGAAAAUAACUCCUAUUUUUAUUGUAUCAGAAUAAUUUUUUUCUUAUUUACACAAAAGUAAUUAAGUAUAAAAUUAAAAUUAAUUAUUGUUCUAAGAGAUUACAAGUACAAUUAUAAUUAUAAACUUAAAAAACAAGUUUGUUUCGAUCGAAUUCGAAUUUAAACGGAUUUAAAUAUUUUAAAUAUUUUAAAUAUUUAAAUUUAAAUCCUACUCAUAUUUUAAAUAGAUUUAAUUUUUCUAAAAGUUUUUAAAUUUUGAGGUACAACUUGAUCCUUAAAUCGAUCUAAAAUAAAAUGAUAAAGCUUGAAAGGAUUUGCUUUUUAGAAUAUAUUUUUUAAAAAUUAGGAAUAAAUUUACAUUAAAAAAGAGAAUUUUUUUUCAUCAAUGGUAUUUUUUUUAAUAAUAUACAAAAUAAUUUUGUUAAAAAUAGCUAUUCUCAAUUUCCAAUGAGUAAUUCUUGCAAGGCAUCGAGAAAAUGUGAAAUAAAAAAAAUAUUGUUGAACAUGGUUCCUAGUUUAAAUAAUUCACUCAUCUCUUCCAAAUUUUGAAGUUUAGUAAAAAUGAAGUUUGUUUCCAAAAAUUUUAAAUUAUUCUUUUCCAAUUAAUUUUCAGAUUUGACUUUGUUUUAUAUUAAAUUAAAAUAAUCUAAUUUAAUUAUAAAUAUUAAACUAUUUUACCAAUUUUUUUAAUAAUCUCAUUAUAGAUUCUAAUAAUAAUUGUUCUUUUUAAUACAAUGUUUAGAAUUACUUAUAAUUACUUCUCAACCUAUAAAUAGGAAGAUAAUGCGUUGAAACUCACUCGAAUCCACGCACUCCUACAUUGACAAUAAUACUCAUACCAAUCAAGUUAAUACUGACAAAUUUUAUCAAAUCUUAAAAUAUUAUUUUGCCAUGUGCAACUCACAUGGCUAUCUAUUUACUCGUAUUUUUCUUGUAAAUUGGGUAAACUCAAAAACUGCUUUUAUGUAAAUAUUAAAUGUAUGGAUUAUAAAUUAUAAUUUUUUUUGGAUAGUAUCGUCUAGUCAGCAAAUCUCAAAAUUAACCUAAGGAAAAAAUAUAAUAUUAUUUUACCAUCUCGUUAAAAUAUUCUAUGUUAAUUUAAGGUCAAAAAAAUAUUUUUUUAAAAUAUUGUGUGUUAUCACAUUCUUCUAGAUGUUCAUUAUAUAAUUAUUAUUUUACUAUAUAACUGUUUUGAUUUAUUUUUUUUAACCUUGACUUUAUUGUAGUUGAGUAAGCAGAAAUUGCAGAAUUUCUUUGAUUUGGUUUGAUUGGAAAGAGAUAAAAUAAAAAAAUAAAAGAUGAAAAAUUUUAAGUAGAAUGAUCUGAUAACUUCUUUUUUCUGCUCCAUAAAUUAGAAAGGAAUUUAUUUAUAUCGAUGUAAAAUUAAAGUAAUUUUAUAUCUUUUCGUAUUAUUUUUUAUGAUUAAUAUUUUAACAAUUCACACAUUAAAAUUUUUGAUGUAAUUGUAUUUAUUAUGUACGUAAAAUUUUAAACCGAUCCAAUAUCUUUAUUAUAUCAAUCUAAAAUAUUUUAUAAAUUAAUAUUUUAUUAAAUGAAUGAAAGUUUUUUGUCUAAAACAAAUAUCUAUAAAGAUUUAUUUUGCAUCGAAUUUAACAUAUGUGAUCUAUAUAAAUAGAAUAAUAAAUUUAACGUUUGAAUUGUUAAAAUAAUAAUUGUACAAAGAAUACGAAAAUGAAUCAUUUCCCCAUUUAAUAUAUAUUAUUUCCUUAAAGAGGCUUUUGUACUGUAAUAGGUUGAUUAUUUAUUUUAAUUCUUAAUGUGUUUUUACUGUAAUAACGUGAGGUGUGAAUUGUAUUUAUCUUUCUAAUUAUACAUUUUGUUCAUUUUCAAGAAUUUAUUUAUUCAAUAUAAAUAAUUUUUAUUUUUAUUAUAUCUAAUAUUAUUGGAAUUAGUAAAAUGCAAACAAAAGAGCAUUUCAGUUGCUAAUUUUUGUUAUUUCUUUAUUUAUGCAUAUAUUAUUUUCCCCACCUUAACUCAAAGAAUUUAAUUUCUAAUUUCAUUUGUUAAAAUCUCUUUUUUUUAAAUUUCUCUACAUAUAUAUAUUUCCUUUAUAAAUUAAAUUUUACGUAAAUUUCAAUUCUAGUCCUUAUCUUUAUCUUUAUUUAUCAAUAAUCUUUUUUUAGGAAGCAUAUUCUAAUUUUACCUAAAUAGAAAAAAACAAAGACAAAAACGGUCUGAAUAAAAAAACAAAUGCCUGCUGGGUGUUCGAUAAAAGGUCUAAGAAAGAAAAAGAGUUCCACCAAGGGCAAUGGUGUACUCCGCAGGCCGCAGCUGUUUCUCUUUUUCACCCACUGAAAAUAAAAAGAAGCCACGUGUCCCUCAUUUGCUCGAUAAAUAUGAAUCUCUCCCUUUCUUUCCUUUAUUUCACCUAUUAAAUUCACUCUCUUCCGAAGGAUAAAUAUACCCAAAAAGAGAAACCGCAAAAACAAAGCUCGGAAAUCCUGGUUUUUUUUUUUUAUUCAAAGUUAAAACCCAGUUUUCAUUUUGGUCUGUUUCAGCUUCCUCUUUACCUGUAAGUUAUAUCUCCAUCUAUGUUGCAAGUUAUAUUGCUUUAUUUAUUUGUUUCGGGGUGUAUUUGUUUAAUCAUGUUUUGGGUGUUUUGGGGUUUUUUUUUCCGGGGGAUGAUUUUUCAUCUGUGUAUAUAAUGAUAAAGAAUGGAUUUCUUUUCUUCAUUUUCAAUUUGGGUGCUUGAAUUUGUUGAAUAUUUUUAAGAAACUUUUUUUCUUGAAAGAGGAGGAAGAGGAAAGAAAUGGGAAUAAAGAAGAAUGCAAUUUGGUUAUAUUUAGCUUAGAGAAUUGAUGUUUGUUCCAUUAGUUUCCUAGCUACUAGUGUUAGAAAAAAACUGAGUUUUUCAAAAUGAAAAUAUGUAAACUUUCUUCAAGAAUUGCUUCUUUUCUUUUUUAUUUAAGGUUUUCUCUUCGAAAGGUUCUAAUUUGGUUUAUAUUGCUAUGAUGGUCAUAAAGAUUCUCUGUUUUUGUUGCAUACAAACUUUUUAUUUUUCAUAUAUCUAUUUGAUCAUCUGGAAUUUAAAGUAGCAAAUUCAUGUAUUUACAAUUAAUUUAUAUAAUCAACUUGGUAUAUCUGUAUUUCCAAUGGUCCUCUGUUUUUAUGAUUUGCUUACAUGUUUAUACCUAUAUCUGAACUGUUUACAUCUUGCAGAAUGGCUAUGGAACCAAACUUCUUUGAACAAGAAUCACAUUUCGAGUCUGAUGGAGAUAUUUCACUGAAGAACAAAUGGAAUCCAAUACCAGAACCAACAAAAGACCUAGAAAAAGAUUCCAGCUGCUUCGAUUGCAGCAUUUGCUUCGAGUCAGCACAAGAGCCGGUAGUCACCCUCUGUGGUCACUUAUAUUGCUGGCCUUGCAUUUACAAAUGGCUUAAUGUCCAAACUUCUUCCCUCGAUACAGACCCGCGACAGAAGAACUGCCCCGUGUGCAAGGCAAGCAUCUCUUCCUGUUCAUUGGUUCCCCUCUACGGUCACGGCACAUCUUCACAUUCUCAACCCAAGACUCCACAUUCAGAUCUGAUCAUUCCCCAAAGACCACCUCCUUCUACAUCGAACAUGACCGCCCCUUCUUCACAUCUAAAUCAACAGCUUCACGAAAACUUUUUCCAUUCUCAGUCCCAAGCAUUUCAUAACCAACAAUACUUCCCACCUUAUGGAGGAUAUGCAACCUUGGCAUCAUCCGACCUUAGUGGUAUACCGAUGACGAAUUUCUUCCAUCCGAUGAUCGGAACUUUGGGAGAAAUGGUGUAUGCUAGAAUAUUUGGGAGCUCAAACACAAGUAUGUUUGCUUACCCUAACCAAGCUUCUUACCCAUUAAUCAGGAAUAACAAUCUUAGGAUGAGAAGGCUGGAAAUUCAGGUUGACAAAUCUCUUAGUAGAGUAUCCAUGUUUCUUUUCUGUUGCAUCAUUCUUUGUCUUCUCUUGUUUUGAGAAGUACUGAAUUUGAGCUUGUAUAGUUGCAAACAAAAUUUGUGAGGAAACCAAAUGUCUAGGUUUCUCUUAACGAUAUUUGUAUGUAUAUAGUACUCUCAUUUUUUAAGAACUGGGACUCUAAAUCCUCCAUAGAAACUGUUUAGCAGCAAAUCAAGUCUCAAACUCUUAUUAAGGGUUUUGCCUUGGGAUGUAUAUGCUUUUGUACGUCACUUUGAAGUUUCCAUUAUUACAAAUAUAUUCAUUCCCCCAUUUUAUCAAUCCUUGCUUUAAUUUAUCUCUCCACUUCAAAAUAUAAUAUUGAUUAGAGGUUUUGCAGUUGAUUUUGUCAUAUAUAUAACAAAAUGAAGAGUUGAUCAAGUAAAAGUUGAAACAAAGACCUUUAGCUAUGGUUUUACCCAUGGGUUCUAAUCAUCUAGAUUCCCCACCGAAAUUGACUCUAAUCACUUGGAGACAAGCUUUUGAUUAUAAAAAGUUUCAUGGGUGAAGGAUUGCUUUCUUUCAUUCUUUUAUUUAUUGAGGUGGUUGGUGUCCCCUUUUCACCUAAUAAAAACUCAAUUAUUUCCAUUCAUUACUCUUAUUUAUUCAUAUGGUACAAUGAAAAUAAAGAUAAGCCCCACAAAUUGAUGCCAAUGUUGCCUGACUUUCAAGAAUCUUAAAAACCAAUUGUUGUAUAAUUAACAUUUCUACUUAUAUUUUUAAGAAUUUAAUUCUUCUACUUUUUAGAUUUAAAAAUAUUAGUCUAAUUAUUAUCACGUUAAACUGUCAAUAUUUUUUUUACGGUAGAAAAAAUACAACAAAAUAGCAACUAUAAGGUAAAGAAAACGCCAAUGGGAGACAUUGGAUAUAGUAGCAAGAUCGAAAUUAAGUAAUUCUUGGACUUAGACUGGAGGUUCUUCAAAUAAUUCAAGCGACUUUGUGAUAUUUUGAAAUAAGAAAAUAUUUACUUGGUAGGCCAUGUAACAAAGAAUGAUUAAAAGAAUUCUAACGCUGUUAACAAUUAUUAAACUUGAAUUUUUGAAAUUGAGGGGUAAAUGUACAUAUUGACAUUGUUAUAUUUUCCAUAGAAGAAAAACAACUAUCAAUUUAAGAUGAAAUUAUUUCCUACAGCUGAGUUGACCCCUUCAAUAAGAAACAUAGACUUUCUUCCCCUUAACAUGCAUGGAAUAUAUAAAUUGAAAUUAGUUCGAAACGUGGUCUAAAGAAGAAGUUUGACGCUACCUUUUUUCACAUGACUAUGAAUAUGAAGCUUCCAAAUUUGAUUUCCUUUCUGAAAAUAUUUUAGUCGGUGAUAGUAUCAUUUGUCAAAUUUGCAAACUGAUCUUUUUGCCCAAAAAUUUCUUUCUCUUACCUUUAUGAGGUGAUGCUCCCACGAAACAUCUCGACAUUUUUGAAUUAAGUUUUUUUUUUAACACUUAUUUUUUCUAUUUAUUUGGUACAUGUUAUAGAUUAUAUGCUAGUUUUUGGCAUGAAUUAAAAGUUAAAAAAGGGAUUUAUUUGAAUAAAAAGAAUUUCAAAAUUUAUACAUAGAUAAAUUAUGGAUUGUUCCAGAGUAAUGAAUUUUGAUUAAAUUUAAAGUGAUUUUGUGAUUUAAUAAAUGGUAGUAUAUAUUCAACCAUUUGGAUCAAACGAAUUGGAUGGAAAGUUUCAGGAAAUGUAUCGAGAGGCUCUAUUCUUAAGUCCGAGUUAUGGGCUAUUUUAAGUGAACUAGAAGUGGCUCGAUUAAGGAAUUGUAGUAAGGUUAUUUUUGAAAGUGACUGCAUGGAUGCUAUUAAGAUGAUAAUGGAAAGUUCUGUGAAUUCUCCAUCGAUGGCCCUUGUAUGAAGGAUUAAUGAAGUCAGAAGAUAGUUAAAAGACGUUAAGUUCCAGUUUGUUUCAAGAGAAGGUAAUAUAGUAGUAUAUUAGUUUGUUAAAUCAAGCUUGACUGAUGAUGUUGAACAUAAAAAUUAGUCUCCUAGCUUUGCAAUUAGGAAUUGUUGUUAGAAGAUGAACUUGGUGACAAUUAAUUAUAUUUUUUUAGUAACUUGUUCAAUCAAUUUUUAAACAGAUUUUAAAUUGUUCAAGUCUGAUAUAAUAUAUAUAAAUUUUGGUUAUAUCAUAACGAGUUUCAUGGUAUAUAUUUGAAGAUAAUAGUUGAUGUUACUCAAAUUACAAUAGACUCACAUCAUCUUACCUUUACUCACUCCAAGUAAUAUCACAUUUCGAACAUAAAUACUACUCCAAUUUGAACAACAAAUUCUGAUCCGACUAAGCUCCAAUGAUUUCUUGAAAUGUUGGUCUAAAGUCAGAGUUAAUUUAUCACCGACGGACAGCCUUAAAAAUGUCCAACAAAGCAAAGUCUAUUAACAUUAACCAUCACAUGCACAUGUUUUUUUCUUGUCUUUAAAAGAUUCUCACCCCUAACUGUAACAAAAGUACAAUUCUCCCGUACUUUAUAUAGGACGUGAAAGCAAAUUUAAAAAAAAAAAUACAACGCGUUUUUCUUUCUCCUUUUUUUUUUUCAUAUUCAUAUUUUUUUCUAUUUUUAACCAAUUAUUUCGAAGAUAAUAAUGGAAUUGAAAUAAAUAAACAAAAAUAAAUAAGAAUUUUAGAUCUAGAUUGUAAUAAUAUAUAAUCACCGACAAACCGCGUUUGCAGCCUAUAAAAUGGAAGCUCUUUGUUCAAGAAUUUUCGUGAAGUUAAAGAAAAUUUUGUUGAUUGGUUAGAGAGAAAAUUAAUGGGGCCUUUCAUCAUUCCUUUUGUUAAGGUUUGGCAAUUGUUUUUCAUUGUUGCCACCAUUUUUGGAGGAGUCAAUGCUCAAGUUAAUGGUUGGUUUAAUGCCCAUGCAACGUUCUAUGGGGCUGACCAAAGUCCCUUUUCUCUUGGUAAGCCUACAUUUUUUAAUGGAUAAUUAAUUUCAUAAAUUUUUAUUUCUUAUAUUAUUGAUUAAAUUUUAGUUCAAUUAAUAUCAUUAUUAUUAUAAUAAUUAGAAAUAUAUGAAUUUAAAUAAUUUUUUUCUCGAUUUAAGGAUUAAAAAGAAUUAUGACAUAUAGUAUAGAAAAAUUAUAUUUAUCUCCAUUUAAGAAUAAUAAAUCCAAUAAUCUUAUAUUUAUUAUUAAAAGCAUUUGCAUGACUAAUUCUAGUAUAAAUUAUAUUUUUUUAUAUAUCUAUAUUCUAGCAUGAUAUUAUUUUUGUCUUGAUUUAAAUAGAACUGUGGUUAAAAUUUUUAUUAGACACUUAUUUGGUACGGGUUUGAACCAACCAUCUCCUACCUCUAAUAUUAUAUCGAAAAAAAUAUAAGAAUAUCCUUAUGAAUUUUAUUUAAAAUUCUUAUAAAAAAAGUUUUUUUCGUAAAUAAAUAUAUAGUCUGAACUCUUUUUUGAAAAAUAAAGUUUGUAUUUGUUAUAUUAUUUUGAAGUGGACAUACUAUAACUCAAAUAAUGUCAUAAAAUAUGGAACUUUCUGAGUUAAAUAUUAUAUCUAGAUGUAUAUAUAUAUAUAUUUGGAUAAUUAUCUAUUGAUAUGUUUCUUUUCCCCUAGAAAUGCCAAAAGUGCCCACCCAAUAAUUAAAAUUGGAGGAUAUUUGAACUUUCAAUAUAUAUAUACACUUUUACAAAUUAUUAAUUGGAUGAUGAUAUUAUUAUAUAGGGGGAGCCUGUGGAUAUGAUAACACUUUGCAUGCUGGAUUCGGAGCAAACACAGCAGCACUGAGUGGUGCACUUUUCAGAGAUGGCGAGGCUUGUGGUGCUUGCUACCAACUCAGGUGCGAUUACCCGGCCGACCCGAAGUGGUGCCUCCGUCGUGCUGGUGUCACCAUAACGGCCACCAACUUUUGUCCUUCCAACAACAACGGAGGGUGGUGCAAUCCCCCUCAUCACCAUUUCGACAUGUCAUUGCCUGCCUUCCUUCGCAUCGCCCGCCACGGGGAUGAAGGCAUUGUUCCGGUCCUUUAUCGGAGGUACGAUUAACAUUUUUGCAUACCAUUACCAAUAUCUUAAUAAGACUGUGCUUUUAAAAUUGUUUUUUCUUUAUUUGAUUUUCGAAGGGUGCCAUGCAAGAGGAGAGGCGGAGUCCGGUUCACCUUGAAAGGGCAAUCGAGUUUCAACAUGGUGAUGAUCACGAACGUCGGUGGCAGCGGCAACGUGAAGGCGGCAUGGAUAAGGGGGUCGAGAACCAGAACAUGGCUACCUAUGAAUAGGAAUUGGGGUGCAAAUUGGCAAAGCAGCAUUGAUCUAAGAAACCAAAGAAUGUCUUUUAAGCUCACUUUGGUGGAUGGCAAAACAUUGGAAUUUCUCAAUGUUGUCCCUUCGACGUGGAAGUUUGGCCAAACCUUUGCUUCAACACGACAGUUCUUUUAACCAAUAUUGCCAUUAAGACAAAUUAAUGUCUUAGAAAAACCAUUAUUUUUAAAAUUGAUGGUUUUAUAAUUAAAAAAAAGGGAUAAUGACAUAAUAAAUACGUCAUUAAAUUUUCCCCAAGUUUUCAUUUAACCAUUUGAUGUUAGCAAAAUUUAAACAUGCAGUGUUUGGGAGCAUGCAAUAUGCAUAUAUUUGUAAUUUGCUCGUAUAAGGAUUUGAAUAAAAAAUAGAAGAGGACUAGAAAAUCCAGUCCUUUUUUUUCUUCUUCUUUAUGAUAUUCUAAUCUUGCCAACUUGUUUAAAUUAACAUCUCUUAUUUACAUUGUCGCAUUAUAUUCUAAUUGAUCUAUAUCUAAAAAUUAUCAUGUUGAAAUUUAAUUUAUAUAGCAUGUGUGCAGUACAUCCUCAAAGUAUCAAAAUGUUAGAAUAUAUCCCAUGUUUUCUUCAAUCUUUUGAGAUAAAUGAAUUAAUGGAUACUUGAGUGUUUAACUAAAUUUAACUCAAAAUCUAAAAUCCUACCUUGAAGGUAAUUUUUUUUAUAUCUAUUUUACAAUUUAUAUUUGAAUAAUAUUAUCUUUAAUAUUCAAACUCAUAUUAUUUUCUAGAGGAGCAAUAUGUCAUAUCACUAUACCAACACUUACUAAUACAUUAAAAUAUCUUUCAUAUUUAUUCCAUAAAAAUUAAAUUUUUCAAAGUUCGUAAUUAUCUCUUAGAAAAUAAUUUUUUAUCAUAGCUCAUGCGUAAAAAUUUUCAUCGUCUUCAAAAAUGUAUUUUAUCAAUGGUGUCCAUCAUGUUCCAACCUUGCAAGUUUUCAAAGGCUUUCAAAGCUAGAAUCACUCAAAUUCAUAGUUGGAUUGAAUUCCGAUUACUUUCAAGUUGCGUAAAAUUUCCCCCUCAUUUUUCGAGUAUAAUUCGAAAGAGGCUUUGCUUAAAAAUAUGGUAAACCAUAGAAUCGUUCAUUAAAUUUUAAUAAGUUUUUAUUUUGUGGGAGGAAAAUAAAAAUUUACAUUUUAAGCAUUGGCAUUAAAAACUGUUCUCAUGCUGGUCACCUACCGCUAACUCAAUGUUAUUAUACACUCAUUUUAAUUAUAAUACUUUACAAAUUUUCAUUUUGGUCAUUUAUUGUCUUUUCUAAAAUUAAUUUUAUUUUUUUUAAAAAAAAGUAUACAUUUUUACUUGAAAUUGAGUUGUUCAUGAAUAGAGAUGAAACUCAAGAUUUUCCAAUUUCUUGUAAAAUUUUAAGUUUUUCUCUUUUACUGGAAAAACUUAGAAUUAAUUUUUUUUAAAAAUAAAAAUUAAAAGAUAAAAAUUCGGAAUUUUUUCUUUUACUGAAAAAAAACUAAAUUUAAUUCUAAAAAGAAAAAAUUAAAAGUUAAAAAGAUAAAGUGUUUUUCCAUGUAUCGUUUUAGGUUUUCCCAAGUUUUUUUUUACUGAAAAAAUUAAAAUUAACUCUAGAAAGAUAAAAAAAUUUAAAAAAGUAAAAUAAGUGAUCAAAGACGGAAAUUUAUUGAAACUAGAUAACUAAUAUAAAUGUAUAAUAAUAUUGAAUUAAUGAUGAUUGAUCAAAAUAAAAAUAAUUUUUAACAAUAUUACCUAAAAUGCAAAUUAUUUUAAUUUUUGGGUGAUAAAACUUAGAACUUCUUCGCUCAAAAUAGAUUGUGCCAAUUUUCGUUUAGGUCCAAACUCCCAAAGUCCAAACCCAAAUUUUGGUGGACAGUGUAUAAAUCAAUCCAGCUGCAAAACCCUGUUGGCUCAAACCAUUUUGAAAAAAAAAAAAAGAAGAAGAAGAAGAAAAAACUCAUCUCCAUGGCAUCAAGAACCUUGUUCACAAUCUUAAACAACAAGAAGACCAAAACUUUAACAGCAGAUUGGCUAGUAAUGACAAGGGCAUACUGUGUUGCACCAAACCCAGCAGGCAUAAACUCUCUUUAUUCAAGAAUCAAUGCUAUUGCAGACCCAAACUGCAGUGUAACUCCAGUUCUUCAACAAUGGGUUAAAGACAAAAAUGUCAAGGAAUUUCAGCUGCAGCGUCUCAUCCGUGAUUUACGUUCUCGUAGGCGUUACACUCAUGCCUUGGAGGUAAAUUAUUUUAUAAAGGGAAUUGAUUGAUUUUAGCAAAUGAAUGGGUUCUAUCUGUUGCAUUGCUUAUGUUCCGGUUCUUUAAAUUAGAAUAUGGAGGGUCGUCGCAAAAUAGUGAACAAGCUGUAUAGAAUAGUUAGCAAUGGAAAUAAAAGGAAAUGAAAUGUUUUGGGAUUAAGUUUUUAAGGGUUUAUGUUGAAACUUGAACCUCUAAUUGGAAAGAAUUGUUCUGAAUAAUUGCUAAGGGUUCAAAUGCCUUGCUUUGGACUGCAAUGGAAGUGGAAAGCCAAAUUAUUGACUUUCCUUGAGCUGUCUGCAAUGGAUAAUUGAAGAAUAAAGACAGAAAAGAAGCAAUUACAAUAUGUAAAACUUGGAAAAGAAGCAAUUAAUCAAAUAGAUGUCAUGGUUUUUGGUUGGAAAGCGCUUCAAUACUUAUUAAUUGCUAGUUUUAUAAUCCCUAUCGUGUCUAGGUUUGAGACUACCAUCCUGGUGCUAAAUGUGUAGAACUUCACCACUAAGAUUUACUACAAACUGCAUUUAAUUUUUAGCUGUAGAUGUGCAAACAGGUUGUGUAUCUUUAUAAUACUUCAAAUGUCUUUUUUUUGUUCUUGCAACGAUUUAUUUCCAUGCAUGGAUGCAGCAAAGUAAAACAUCCCCUGUCCUAUUACCAAUGCUCUGACAGUAUGCAUGGGUUUUAAGUUUCUGUUUUUCUUGUAUGCUUAUGUUGGGUCCUUGGCAGAGCAGGUUUCCAAAUGGAUGAGUAGUAGCGACCUUGAAUUUUCUUCAAGCGAUUAUGCUGUGCAGUUGAAUCUAAUUGGUAGAGUUAAUGGGCUAACUGCUGCAAAGAACUUCUUUAGUAGCUUGAGAGACCAAGAUAAAACUGUGAAGACCUAUGGGGCUCUUUUAAAUUGCUAUGUUCAGGUAGGCCUUAUCGAUGAGUCUCUUUCCCUUAUGAAGAAGAUGAAGGAGAUGGGUUUUCUUUCCUCUCCGCUCAACUACAAUAACCUUAUGUGCCUCUACACACACAGGGGACAAUUUGAAAAAGUCCCUGAUGUAUUGUUAGAGAUGAAGACGAAUGGUGUCUCCCCUGACAAGUUCAGCUAUAAAAUCUGCAUCAAUUCUUACGGGGCUAGAGCUGAUUAUGACAGCAUGGAGAAGGUUCUACAAGAAAUGGACAGCCAACGGGACAUUCAAAUGGAUUGGGGUACUUAUUCCUUAGCGGCAAACUACUACAUAAAAGCAGGUCUUAAAGAAAAGGCACUUCAUUAUCUUAAGGAAUGCGAGAAGAAGGUAGGUAAUGAUGCAGAAGGCUAUGACCAUUUGAUUUCAUUUUAUGCUCGUUUGGGAAACAAAGAUGAACUGAAAAGGCUGUGGGACCUUCAAAAGUCCAAAUGUAGGAAGCAAACCAACAAACACUACAUAGUAAUGUUGGGUUCAUUGGUGAAGCUCGGUGAGCUUGAAGAAACUGAAAAGUUAAUUGAUGAGUGGGAGUUGUCUUGUAAGACAUAUGAUUUCCGAGUGCCUAACGUGCUUCUUAUUGGAUAUUGUCAGAAAGGUUUAGUUGAAAAGGCAAAAGCGAAGUUACAGGAUAUAAUCAAAAGAAGGAAGAUUGCAAUCCCGAACAGUUGGUCUAUUGUCGCAACUGGAUACAUGAAUAAGAACAAAAUGGAGAAGGCUUUUGAGUGUUUUAAGGAAGCUCUUGCUAUACAGACACAAAAUAGAGGGUGGAAGCCAAAAGCAGGUUUAAUAUCAAGCAUAUUGAGUUGGCUAGGUGAGAAUGGAGAAGUUGAAGAUGCAGAAGCUUUUGUGAAAUUAUUGAGAACCAAGGUUCCUGUAAAUAGAGAAAUGUACCAUGCCCUUUUAAAGGCAUAUAUCAGAAAUGGAAAAGAAGUAGAGGGGCUUUUGGUGAGCAUGAAGGAUGAUAAAAUAGAUGAAAACGAGGACACGAUGAAGAUCCUUAGCCUUCAAGACCAAAACUCUCAAGUCACUGGGUAGAGGUUACAGAAUCUUUAAGAUGAUAAUCUUACAUUACAUGUUGCCCUUCCCCAAUGUGUAGCAUGUUUAUUUUGUUAUGUCCUUGGGGAACAUGCUUUGAAAUUAUGUGAUGAUUUAUGUCAUCAUCGCUAUGUUGUUAGAAGCAGGAAAGUAGUUUGGCUUAUUUAUCAUGUAUACAGGGUAGGGGUGGGAAACUGCAUUUCACAUGUAUUAUAUGAUGGGAGAUGGGCUAUUCAAUGUUAUGAAAUUCCAUCUAAAUCGAAGUCACAAUCCAAACCCCAGUUGGAUUGGGAAAAUAUAAAGCCCAAAAGUUGUUAUACUACUCGUCUUAAAAGAAAAUGUCGAGUCAACAGCGGGUUUGCUCAUUGGUGGGCUCGUCUAGCUCAAGAUUUUCAUGUGCUUGUCAUGUGGACCUCAUCAGAUUAUCUUCCAAUGGUGAGUCCCAUCAAACACUAGAGUUUCAUUAUGAUCUACUUGAAAGUCCUUUCUAUCACAUUUCAUUAAAGCUUUCCAUAAUUUUACUGCCAACUCCAUCAGAUCAGGUCUCAGUGUUGAAUUCCAUCAAGGCCUACUCGAAGGUCCUUCGUAUCAUAUCUUAGUAAAGCCCUCCAUAGUUUUAAUGCAACCAAAUGCAAUCAUCAAGUCAUUGCUUACGACCAAUCCCAUUUUACUUGCAACUGCGGACACUAUCAUCAAGUUAUUGCUUGACAUGCUCCAUGACCCUACAAUAAUCAAGUUAUUGCUUGACAUCGCUCCAUGACCCUACAAUAAUCCUAUGCUAUAGAUCACCGGUACAAAAAGGGUCACACCAAGCUCUUCGUCUAUAUAAGUUACCUCGUUCUCUAACAAGAGGCAAACUCUUUCUUAUCGCAACCACUUCCAAGUUCUACUAUAACUCUCCAAACUUUUGUGACUCUUGAUACAUCAAUGUUAACUGCAUCCAACUGUCGUCCCCAAAUCUUGUAUCAACAAAAAGCCAUAACAAAAGUAAGAGAAAAGACACAGAAAAUCACGAAAGAAACAUAACAUCAAUAGUAGCAGUGAAGAAGAAUUGCAUUCGGAAUCAAAGUCAAGGCAGAAGCAACGAAAGAACAAGCGAAGCUAUGAUAAGAAAUGACUUGCAUGCACAAAAUUGGCAACUUGGAGGUGAGGAUGUAGUGUUGGUUUUAUCUCGAAUUAUUUCAUGGCUAAUGAUUGAUUUAGUGUUGCGGUUUUAUAAUUACUGGAUGCAGCUUGCCAUACAAAAAACGGCUCAGCCAUAAGCCUAGAUGGAGGCUAACAACUAACUGUUGCAAAUUCAUGAAUCCAAUUCCCCCACGUUGGCUAUCUAAGAUGCUUUAAGAUCCGUCGGCUGUAAGCUUUAAAAGUGUCCAUUUCCACAUACUCUCAAAAUCUUCGGAUUGGGUUAAUUUGAAUUUUAAAAAAUUGAAAUCAAAUUAUUUUGGAUUAAUUUUCGAAUUUAAAUCGUGUUGGAAUUGUUUUAAAUUUAAGUUAUUUGAGACAUUUCAUGUUGAGAUACUUUUAAAUUAAAUAUUGCGAUAAAUUUAAAUAUGGGUUGAACAUGUUUAAAAUAUUAUUAUUUUUAUAUAUUAAAUAAGUGAGUGAAAUUUUCAUUUUAGAUUUUGAAAAUCGAGUUAAGAAAUGCAAAACUAAAGAUAAAUGUACUUUAAGUAGUAUGGAUUCUAUCGAGCUUCGUGUUAAAUUAAUUAUUAAUUAAUUUUUUGGGACAAAUUAUAGAGUAAAUAUUUGAAUAUUAAAAUAUACAUUAAAUUCUUAGUCUUUGUGUAUUUGAAAUUUAGACUUUAUACUUUUCUUUUUAGAAAUUUAAUCAUUCUAUUUUUCAAAUUUCAUAAUUCAAAUUCAAUUGUUAACAUCAUUAUAUUUUUCUAUUAAAUUCGCUGAUGUGACAUUUUAAAAUUAAAAAAUAAAUAUUCACUUAGUAGUCAUGUAACAAAAAAAAAAUAACAUUGCGAUGAAUUUCGAUUUAACAAAUAAUUUUAGUAGUUUUAAUAACUAUUAAAAGUUUCAUCUAAUAUUUUAAUCAAAACAAAGUAUGGUAACUAUUCAAUUAUAUUGUACAAAUUUGAGAUAUCAAAUUAUGUCAAAAAGUUGAAAAAUAAAAAUUAAAUCUUAAAUUUAGUGUAACAAAGGAAUCAAAAUUAAAAUUUUACCAUUAUUAUGUAAUUUAGAAUUUGAGUUUAUCACGAUAUUAAAUGUAAAAAAUUAAAAUCUUACUAUUUUAUUAUGUAAUGAAAAAAAAAAGAUUAUAUAGAUUUGUCUAGGGGUGAGCAUUGGAUCGAAUUGAGUGAAAAAAUAUCGAGUUAAUCAAGUUGAUGAAUUAUAUUUUAUCAUCCUAACUCAAUUUGAAAUUUUUUCUAAUCGAAUCGAGUAAAAUGAAAUUCAAAUCAAGUAAAAUUGUUCGAAUUAAACUAAAAAUUAAAUAUGUCAAAUUAAAAUCUUAUUACGAUAUAACUAAUUUCAUAUUAUAGCCCAUUAAUUUGAAACCAUAUAUAUUUAAAAUCAUUUUCAAAGAAAAAAAUUUGUAUGAUAAACUUGAAUCAUUAAUUAACUUAUUUAAAUCCUCAAAAUUAUUGUUCUAGGAAAUUUUUAAUUUCUUAAUUUUAUUUAUUUUUUUAGAAUUUUUUUAAAAUUUUUAUAAUUUUUUAAAAAUAUAAAAUUUAGAAUUUUUAUAAAUAUUUUAAAUUUUAAAAAUUAUUUUGAUGUAAUUUUUGUUAAGAGAGAGACUAACUUAUUUAUUUUCAAAUUUGAUAAGGACCAAAAAAAUAUUUAUAUCAAAUUAUUAUUUAAAUUAUUAAAAUGAUUCGAAUUAUAAAUUUUAUAAAAUUUAGCUGAAUUUGAAUUAUUUUUUAAUUUUUUUUUUUAAAUUGAAUUGAGUUUUGCUGCUGUUGUAUUUGCCCCUAGAAUGAAAUGCCCGUGCGUCCUUCAAAACGACAUGAAAACAGAGCAGCCAAAGUACCGCCGAACUCAGUAAUGACAGCAGUGAAACUAAAACCAUAUCCUUUCCAACAAAAAUAUCAGAUGGAAAUUCCCAUCAAAUGUUGUCUUCAAAGAUUCUGAAAAAGCCAUUUUCUUCAUCUUCAACUAAAACCUUAUUAGACAUAAUUUCCCAACUUUCUCUUCAACAAAAACAUCCCAUUGCCUCAAUCAAACCCAUACUUUUAACCCUCAAAUCCAAACCCAAUUUUGCUCUUAACUUCUUCAAAUGGAGCCAAAGUUUCUCAAAAUCGCCCCACGGUUUACCUUCCUACUGUGCACUCAUUCACAUCUUUCUCUGCCAUCGAAUGUUUGGUGCCGCAGCUCAGGUGUUCGAGGAAAUGAUGGACCAUGUAGAUACAAAUAUCGAUGUUCUUGAUGCUUUUAAUGAAGGGUUUAGGGAUUUUGGAUCCAACCCAAAUGUCGUUUUUCGGUUUUUGUUGGAAAGUUACAGCAAGAAUGGGAAAUUGGAUAUGGCUUUCCAUGUGUUCAUGGAAAUGGCUAAAAGGAGGCUUUACAUCUCAAAUAAUUUGGCUUUUAGGAUGCUGAAUUCUUUAAUGAAUGUGAAUUGUGUUGAUAACUAUGGUGAAUUUUGUAGAUUUUUUAGAACACGAGGUUUUUGUGUGUAUGGGAUUGUGAUGGAAGGGCUUUUGAAGAAUAGGAAGAUUGGAAAGGCCUUGAUUUUUCAUGAAAAGAUGAUUUUGAAGGGUAUAGAGGUUGACAUUGUUGCUUGUAACAAGAUUUUGAAGGGUCUUGCUGUAAAUAAGGAAAUAGGAAUUGCUUCUAAGUUAUUUGAUGUAAUACUAACUUUUGGUCCGUUGCCAAAUGUGGUGACUUUUAGCACACUGAUUAACAUGUAUUGUAAAGAUGGAAAAUUGGAUACAGCAUUUGAGAUUUACAAUGUUAUGAUAAAGAGGAAUGUAAUUCCAGAUUUAAUUCUGUAUUCUAUACUUAUUGAUGGUUAUUUCAAGGCAGGGAGAUUGGAUGAGGGAGAGAAGCUCCUCUCUGUGGCUCUAGAUCGAGGUAUCAAGUUGGAUGUGGUUGUUUUCAGCUUGGUUAUGGACGCUUAUGGCAAGGUAGGGGAUUUGGGGAGAGUGGUUCAGGUUUAUAAGAGAAUGUUGGAGGAAGAUUUAUCACCAAACAUGGUGAGUUACAGCAUUCUCAUAAGUGGUUUGUGUGGAAAUGGUAGGAUGCUUGAAGCUUGUGGCAUAUUUGGUCAAAUUAUCAAAAGGGGUUUUGGGCCUUCUCUCAUAACCUAUGGUAGCCUCAUUGAUGGUUUCUGCAAGAUGGGGAAUUUGAAGGAUGGUUUUCAUCUAUUUGAUGAUAUGAUAGAGAAGGGCCAUCAACCUGAUGUUGUUGUUUAUAAUGUGUUACUACAUGGUCUUUGCAAAAAAGGGAUGGCUAGAAGUGCUCUUAGGUUCUUCUUUAACAGUGUAAGCAAGGGUCUAAAAUCCAAUAUCUUCAUUUUUAACUCCUUGAUGGAUGGUUUUUGUAGGUUGAAACAGUUAAGGAAUGCUGUGAAGGUGUAUAUGUUAAUGGGAAUGUAUAGCGUAAAACCAGAUAUAGUAACCUACACUUUGCUUGUUAGAGGCGCUUCAAAGCAAGGAAAACUGGAUGCAGCACUGUUAGUUUUAUUUCAAAUGCUGAAGAGGGGUUUCCCUGGAGAUGCUAUAACAUACUGUACCCUCAUGGAUGGAUUCUGCAAACAUAAAAAUCCAACUGCUGGAUUGCAGAUAUUUAAACUGAUGCAAACGAAUGGAGUGGUUCCUGAUAUUGCUGUAUAUAAUGUUCUCCUCAAUAUGCUUCUCAAGGACUCUCAUCUAGAAGAGGCAUCAAAGCUUUUCAGGCAACUUGUUGAGAAAGGGCCAAAACCUGAUAUCAUAACGUACAACACAAUGAUAUGUGGUUACUGCUCGUUGCAAAGAUUGGAUGAGGCGAUUAGCCUCUUUCAACAGCUGACUUCUCUCUUUGGACCCAAUUCAAUUACCUAUACUAUAUUAAUUGAUGCUUUCUGCAAGGAGGGUAGAAUGGAUGAAGCUAUGUCAAUGUUUUCCAAAAUGUUGGAGAAGGGUCCUGAACCCAAUGUGGUAACAUACGGUUGUCUAAUUGAUGGCUACUUCAAAUCUCAGGACAUGAGGACUGCCACUGAGCUUCACGAAGAGAUGCUCGAAAACCAAAUCAGUCCGAAUAUUGUCAGUUAUAGCAUCCUCAUUGACGGCUUUUGCAAACAAGGAUUAAUGCUGGAAGCAUCUCUUGCAUUCUGCUGUGCUCUAGAUAGACAUUUAUUGCCUGAUGUAGUUGCGUAUUCAAUUCUGAUUCGUGGUUAUUGCAAAGUUGGUAGAUUAGUUGAGGCCAAGCUGUUAUGUGAACAGAUGUUCAUGGAGGGAGUAAUGCCGGAUGAUUUGUUAGAACGAACCUUGGUGGAAUAUAAUCUCUAAAAUACCAUGGAAAACAAGUCAUGUACAGAGAUCUUUUCAUAGUCCACUAAUUUGUGCUCAUGGAUGACUGAUUUUUCACUCUCUGCAUCUUACCAGGUAAUUUCUACUCUGCUUUACAUUUACAGGGCCGAAUUAUACUUCUAAUUUACAUGCUCCAUUGAGAUCUUUGCCAUACAUUAACUUAGUGCUUACUAGAUUUUAGGAUCAAAAUUUUGUACAUUGCAUUUCCUGUAGAGUUCUAAUUAUAUAGUUAGCCAUUGGAACUUAAAAGGUUUUGAAACUGAGUAAUCGAAUAGCAGGUCAGUUUGUUUCCCUGAGUCUCGAGAUUUUUCAUCUCAAGUUCGUAAAAUUCAACUACUAAUGAAACUGUUUCAACCUUUCUUCAGGGUUGCAUCGUUUUGAAGGAAAUGCCUGUAAAGAGAUCUUUCAACGAUAAUGUGAAUUCUUUUCCCCAUUAUUGCUGUACCUACAUUGAGGACUUUAAACAUAAGUGAGCGACUAGGCAAGAAAUACAGGUUAGAAUUUGCCUAGCCAAGGAUAUGAACCUAAGAUAAAUAUGCCCCUAACCUUGAUUACCUUGCUUCUUUUUUUUUUAUCAUUACAAUAUUCAUUGUUCAAAACAAAUGUUGGCGAUUGAAUCUGGUGCAGUUGGAAAGUGUCUUUAUUUAGCUUAAUUGAAGCUAGUAUUAGUUUUAAUGGAACUGGCCUAUAUCAAUUUUCAACAUUACAAAUUGCUUUUCAAUACUUUCUCUUUGACUGUAACAUUUUCAGAAUCAUUUAAAAAGGAAAUUCUUUGUAAGAUAUGCAUUUAUUUAAAUUUUAGUGUGAGAUAUUAAAUUUGUUUAAAUAAUAAAAUAAUGGAAAAGAGUUUUUUUAUUUGUAAUUUAUGCAUUUAAAUAGAUUGAGUGUUAUUAAAUUUACUUAAAUAUCAAAGUGUCUCUGAUCCUCAAGUUGUAGCUUAUUGAUUUGGAAUAAUUUGAGUUUAAAUCAUCAUUGUACCCAAAAAAAUAGCACUUGAGUUUAAAUCAUCAUUGUACCCAAAAAAAUAGCACUUGAGUUUAAAUCAUCAUUGUAUCCUAAAAAAUAGCACUUAUGGUAUGAAUGAUUAAAAGUAAGUAAAACUCCAUUUGACUUUAAAAAAAUUGAAAAAAAAUUAAAUUUUAUAUUAAUCAUAAUUUAUCACAAUAUAUUAAACAAAUAAGUCUAUCUUAAAAUUCUAAAACAUUUUUCUUACUAUAAAAAAUAAUUUAUUCUAAUAGUAAGUCUUUAAAAAUCAUAGAAAUAAUAGGGAACUUAGUUUUAAGAUAAAUGUUUAUCAAAAUUUUAGUUUUGAUUGGUAUAUUUAAAAUUGUAAUCAACACCAUGUUUUUCAUCACUAUGUGUCACUAAGUUAUAAGUACCACAUGUAGAUUGUUAUCUAAAAUGUUUGUGUAUCUUGUGAUAUAAUAUAUUUAUCUGGUUCUUUUAUAUUGUAUUUUAUUUUUUUAUUUAAAAAAAGGUAAAUUAAUCUUUGUACAUUAAAAAAAAGUACAAAUUAAUUUUUCUAUUAAAAAUUUCAUCUACAUGUAAUGUUAAGUGAUGAUUUAGAAUUUUUAAAGUUUUUCUUUUAUGCAAGUGACGUGGAAUUGAAGGAUGAGUAGGAUCAAUUAAAAGUGAUAUGAAGGCUCUUUUACCAAGAGUAGGAUUGCAUUUUGCCUCCGCUACUAAAAAAAUAGAUAAAUUAAUCUAUGUACGUUAGGUUAAAGAGAAAUUUAUCAUUUUGUUAAAAAUUCCUUUUAGUUCUACUUUUAAGUCAUGAUAUGACUGACAGAGCAACUAGAUAGCAAUACGUGAUGCAUUUGGCCACAUCAGCAAAUAUUUAAAAGUUUUGUACUAAAAAGAAAAAAAUAUUUAAAAUUUUAAAAAUUCUCAAAAAAAUAUUUUAAUAAUUAUUUAAAAAAUCACAUCUAAGAUGAACAUAAACUUUGUUUCGGUUCAUCUUAUGCGUGAUUUUUAAGUAGUUAUAAAAAUUAUUUAAAAAUGAUAAGAAAUUAUGAUUUUUCUUAAAUUAUUAAAAAUAAUUAAAAUUAUGUUUAUAAUGAACUUGGGAAAAUAGUUGUCCAGGUUCAAAUGAGCCUCGACAACCAUGUAUCUAGGUUCAUUCAGGAGUUGUUUCUUAAAUAAUUAUCAAAUAAUCAUACAAAACUAUAGAAAAUUAUUUCGAAGUUAUUAAGAAUUAUAAGAAAUUAAUAAAAUAAACAACAAUCAUAUAAGAAGAGACAUGUAUCUCUAGGUAUAGUUGAAUUGUUUUAACAUGCUAUAUGUGUAUAUAUAAGUUUUUUUAAUCAUUAUUUAUAAACUAUUAUAAUUCUUAAUAAUUUUUUUUAUAAUUUUUAUAAUUAUUUAAUAAUUAUUUGAGAAACUAUUUUAGAAUGAAUUUGGACAACCAUUUGUCCAGGAUCAAUAAAAAAAUUGUUUUUAAUAAAUUUUAGUAUUUUUUUUAAUUUUUAUAAUUCUUAAUAAUUUUAAACAGUUUUCUAUGUUUUUAUAUUUUUUUGAAAAAUUAUGUCUAAGUUGAAAUGAAUUAGGACAACUCUUUUUCCA